Molecule: long non-coding RNA, 1948 nt
Organism: Propithecus coquereli (Coquerel's sifaka)
Lineage: Eukaryota; Metazoa; Chordata; Mammalia; Primates; Indriidae
Exons: 3
Source: RefSeq, a predicted model, not a curated record
CCUCUCUUGCCCAUAAACUCAGCUCCUUGAGCUAAAUACACAAAAGGGAGCGAGAGGUUUGAACCAUUGGAAAAAGUACGGUAUAUAUAGUAGGUUUAGAGAGGCGAGUAAGAGAAAAAAACAAUAAACACCACAGCUCUUUCCAGCUAGAAUAUUAGGCACCACGAGAAAAAUAUUUGCCAAGCAGUUUUCGUAUCCAGGUGGCAUCAGUAUGUGGACCUCCCUCACUCCAGCAGCACUAUGGUAUAGGAUUAAAGAAAGGACUGGCUUGAAUAUAUUCAGAUUCUUUUAAAUCAUCCUUAAGAAGCUCUAAAGAGAGGUUCCACGGCCGGGGUCUUCCGAAUGAUUGCUGCAGAUUUGGAGCUCUGCCUGGAACUCCUUAUGGGACAGUGAGCAAAGCCACUUGUGAGGACUCCGUUCCCUCAACAGUGUAAGGAAUAACCCCGAGGAUGUGCAGGCUGCCUGACUGCUCCAAGUUCUAUACCUUUACAUCUAAAUACACAUUUACUUAACUUUCGGGUGGGGGAGAUGGAAAGGAGCUGUGUGUAUAUGUGUGCCUGGGCUGAGGGAAGGGGUUAAAAUGUAAACUUCUAGGUAAAGAAGGCAGUCCCAGAAUCCUCACCUCUAUCAAUUUUUAACCAAUUAUAGACCAAAGUCUGGGAUUAUGCUGAGUGGGUCCAAAAGCCAAUUGAAGAUUUUAAAUGUUAAGAGUUGCUGGAGGAGGCAGGUUCUAAGACCUUGUACUUUUGAUCUCCAGCAUUUAUAAUCAGACUUGACAGAUCCCGAGUGUCUUUUCUGCCCUAUAGUUUUUUUUGUUUUUUUUUUUCUGUUUGUUUUUGGAAGAGGUCCCAGUCAAUGAUAGGAAGGAGAUGACAUUUGUACACUGGAUAGUGUUUAAGCCACUGGGCUGCAUGUGGAUGUGAAAAAUGCAUCAUAACAUUCACAUACACACAUGCAUGCACACACACAAAGGAAGAUAAGAAAAAUCUAGAGAGAGAUUCCUGGUAAUAAGCUUAGAGGUAAUGCAGCCAUCAUUGCAUUAAAGGUAAUUAUUUCCUGUUAGAGGAAAUAACAAAUGAGGAGUUUGCCUUUACCAAAAAGAGAGAGAGAGAGAAAAGAAGAGAAAGAGAAGAGAUCUUGAUCUAUCGGAACAAACUUAAAAGCAAUGAAAGAGAUAUUUUCCAUCAAUAUUUCUUAUGCUUUCUUGAUCUCCAGUCUUUAAAAGGAAAGAUCUAAAGUUUCUAAAACUUGAUUGUCUAGACAACCUAAGGCCUUUAACAGACGUCUGCAUGCCCAGGAAAUAAUAAAAUGACUUGUUAUUUACUAGCAGUGACCUUCUCACCACCCAUCCCUCACUGGCUUAGACGUUCUGGAAUAUUGAGCCUAUGUACAAAGAUGGGUGGAGCCAAUUACAUUUUCUCAAUGUAAAACUAUUGAGAGUUACAAUAUGCCAGAACUGGGAGGGUCCUUAGCCAUUAUCCAAUCCAUUAUUACUGAUUUUAUAUCACUGAAAAUUGAAGCCCAGACAGAAUCCAUUUGCCACAUAUACCUCAUCGCUUACAGAACUAGGUCCAGAAUUUUGAUGCCCUAGUUCUAAAUCCACUAUGCUUUUUAUGGCUUAUUAUGGAAAGAGGGUAUGGGGUGAGCAGCCCUGCAGAAGAGUCAUUUGCUGUGGCCUCACAUUGAGAGAAGUUCUCGAAUUGAGACUUUUGACAUUAUCUCUGCUAACGUUAUACCUCAAUCUUAGCAGCACCCUGGCACAAUUGAAAGAAGACCAUCGUGUGCAACUUUUGCGUGUGGAUCCCAGUGUAGGACCGCAGGUUCCUAUGAUACUGUGAUUUAAUAUUGUUAAUCUAUAAUUGUUUUACAACUUGUGCAAUUGUAUUGUAAUUGUGUGUAUGUUGGUAUUAAAAUGUCAGAUUUAAAAUAUAUUUAGCCUAGAAGCAAU